RNAcentral lists this transfer RNA (84 nucleotides) under Candidatus Melainabacteria bacterium. RNAcentral describes it as "tRNA-Leu". It matches the Rfam family "tRNA". From Rfam's summary of the family: Transfer RNA (tRNA) molecules are approximately 80 nucleotides in length. Lineage: Bacteria; Bacillati; Candidatus Melainabacteria. The record is from RNAcentral.
GGGCUUGUGGCGGAAUUGGUAGACGCGCUUGACUUAGGAUCAUGUGCCUAUGGCGUAAGAGUUCGACUCUCUUCAAGCCCACCA